AAUGAACGCUGGCGGCGUGCCUAACACAUGCAAGUCGAGCGCGAACGUGACUUCGGUCACUAGUAGAGCGGCGAACGGGUGAGUAACACGUGGAUAACCUGCCUGGAAGUGGGGAACAACUCAGGGAAACUUGAGCUAAUACCGCAUACGUCAGCAUAGCGAAAGCGUUGCUGACAAAGAUGGCCUCUUCUUGAAAGCUAUCGCUUCCAGAGGGAUCCGCGUCUGAUUAGCUAGUUGGUGAGGUAAUGGCUCACCAAGGCGACGAUCAGUAGCCGGCCUGAGAGGGUGAUCGGCCACACUGGAACUGAGACACGGUCCAG
This 320-nucleotide ribosomal RNA is filed under the name uncultured bacterium. RNAcentral's name for it is "bacterial SSU rRNA". It matches the Rfam family "Bacterial small subunit ribosomal RNA", at positions 29 to 334 of the family's 1533-position model. The record is from RNAcentral.